This 253-nucleotide ribosomal RNA is filed under the name uncultured bacterium. RNAcentral's name for it is "partial 16S ribosomal RNA". It matches the Rfam family "Bacterial small subunit ribosomal RNA", at positions 524 to 776 of the family's 1533-position model. The record is from RNAcentral.
GACGAACCGUACGAACGUUAUUCGGAAUUACUGGGCGUAAAGGGCUCGUAGGCGGCCAACUAAGUCGGACGUGAAAUCCCCAGGCUCAACCUGGGAACUGCGUCCGAUACUGGAUGGCUUGAAUCCGGGAGAGGGAUGCAGAAUUCCAGGUGUAGCGGUGAAAUGCGUAGAUAUCUGGAGGAAUACCGGUGGCGAAGGCGGCAUCCUGGACCGGCAUUGACGCUGAGGAGCGAAAGCCAAGGGAGCAAACGGG